This 548-nucleotide ribosomal RNA is filed under the name uncultured yeast. RNAcentral describes it as "eukaryotic LSU rRNA". It matches the Rfam family "Eukaryotic large subunit ribosomal RNA", at positions 37 to 667 of the family's 3401-position model. The record is from RNAcentral. Lineage: Eukaryota; Fungi.
UGCAUAUCAAUAAGCGGAGGAAAAGAAACCAACAGGGAUUGCCUCAGUAACGGCGAGUGAAGCGGCAAAAGCUCAAAUUUGAAACCCUCGGGAUUGUAAUUUGAAGAUUUGGCAUUGGAGAAAGCUAACCCAAGUUGCUUGGAAUAGUACGUCAUAGAGGGUGACAACCCCGUCUGGCUAACCGUUCUCCAUGUAUUGCCUUAUCAAAGAGUCGAGUUGUUUGGGAAUGCAGCUCAAAGUGGGUGGUAAACUCCAUCUAAAGCUAAAUACUGGUGAGAGACCGAUAGCGAACAAGUACUGUGAAGGAAAGGUGAAAAGAACUUUGAAAAGAGAGUGAAAUAGUAUGUGAAAUUGUUGAUAGGGAAGGAAAUGAGUGGAGAGUGGCCGAGGUUUCAGCCGCCCCUCGUGGGCGGUGUACUGCCGACGCCGAGUCAUCGAUAGCGAGACGAGGGUUACAAAUGGGAGCGCCUUCGGGCGUUCUCCCCUAACCCUCCACACUGCCACCGACGACAUAAUCCACCCAUUUCACCCGUCUUGAAACACGGACC